Molecule: ribosomal RNA, 460 nt
Filed under: uncultured bacterium
Lineage: Bacteria
Description: SSU rRNA
Rfam family: Bacterial small subunit ribosomal RNA
Source: RNAcentral
AGAAUCAACGCUGGCGGCGUGCCUAACACAUGCAAGUCGCACGAGAAAGGGGAGCAAUCCCUGAGUACAGUGGCGCACGGGUGAGUAACACGUGAAUAAUCUACCUCCGAGUGGGGAAUAACUGAGAGAAAUCUUAGCUAAUACCGCAUAAUACCCACGGGUCAAAGCAGCAAUGCGCUUGGAGAGGAGUUCGCGGCAGAUUAGUUAGUUGGCGGGGUAAUGGCCCACCAAGACGAUGAUCUGUAUCCGGCCUGAGAGGGCGCACGGACACACUGGGAACUGAAACACGGUCCAGACUCCUACGGGAGGCAGCAGUGGGGAAUUUUGCGCAAUGGGGGAAACCCUGACGCAGCAACGCCGCGUGGAGGAUGAAGCCCCUUGGGGUGUAAACUCCUUUCGAUCGGGAAGAUAAUGACGGUACCGAUAUAAGAGCCCCGGCUAACUUCGCGCCAGCAGCCGC